Molecule: unclassified non-coding RNA, 88 nt
Organism: Cercocebus atys (sooty mangabey)
Lineage: Eukaryota; Metazoa; Chordata; Mammalia; Primates; Cercopithecidae
Rfam family: Y RNA
About the family: Y RNAs are components of the Ro ribonucleoprotein particle (Ro RNP), in association with Ro60 and La proteins. The Y RNAs and Ro60 and La proteins are well conserved, but the function of the Ro RNP is not known.
Source: Ensembl
CACUGGUCUGGUUGCAGUGAUGUUUACAACCAAUUAUAGAUUUCUUUGUUCCUUCUCCAUUUCCACUGCCUUACUUGAGUAGCCUAAA